UACAGAGGGUGCGAGCGUUGUUCGGAAUCAUUGGGCGUAAAGCGCACGUAGGCGGUUCGUUAUGUCGGAUGUGAAAGCCCUUGGCUUAACCGAGGAAGUGCAUCCGAAACUGGCGAGCUAGAGUACGAAAGAGGAUCGCGGAAUUCCCGGUGUAGAGGUGAAAUUCGUAGAUAUCUGGAGGAACACCGGUGGCGAAGGCGGCAUCCUGGACCGGCAUUGACGCUGAGGAGCGAAAGCGUGGGGAGCGAACAGG
RNAcentral lists this ribosomal RNA (253 nucleotides) under uncultured bacterium. Its description in RNAcentral is "partial 16S ribosomal RNA". It matches the Rfam family "Bacterial small subunit ribosomal RNA", at positions 524 to 776 of the family's 1533-position model. The record is from RNAcentral.